This 188-nucleotide unclassified non-coding RNA is filed under the name soil metagenome. RNAcentral's name for it is "partial internal transcribed spacer 1". The record is from RNAcentral.
CAGAGUUGCAAAACUCCCACAAACCAUCGCGAAUCUUACCCGUUACGGUUGCCUCGGCGCUGGCGGUCGGAAGGCCCUCGGGCCCCCCGGAUCCUCGGGUCUCCCGCUCGCGGAGGCUGCCCGCCGGAGUGCCGGAAACCAAACUCUUGAUAUUUUAUGUCUCUCUGAGUAAACUUUUAAAUAAGUCA